UGGACAUGCUCCUGUACAGACCUCUGAGGAGAACCAAGGUGCAGUCAAAGAGUCCAGUCUGUCCUCACAGAUGUGAACAUGUGGUUUCAUCAGGUCUGCUGUCAGCUAGCAGGCUCACAUCAGAAUCACUGUUCCUGAAAAACACAGUCUGUGUGACAUCAUCAGUCAGCUGAUCGUCCCAGAUCUGAAUGGUUUCUGUCUCUACUGAGGAAGUCAGAGAAUAUCACUGAGGUGUGGAUCAGGUCUGAGUGACCUGUGGAGGGACAGCUUUAAACAGUCCACAGGUCUCACGUCCUGCUCAGUCUGGUAGCAGAUACCUCGUAUUGUUCCAGAUGUGCUGACAUCACCAGCAGCAGCAGCAGCACAGCUGUGUGAUACGAUGAAUCUCAGUUAUUGAUCCAACACACAGUAAAUACAAAGAUCAGGAUUUAUGAGAGUAAUCAUUAUGAGUCUGAACACAUGAUCACUGAAUGUGAGUCUCCACAAUAAUAAGCUAACACAAGCAAACACAGCUUUCAGCUCUUAUUUUGAAACUUAUUUAGAGAGCUGUGAUGUGAGCGUGCCUGGCUCUGAGGCACUUGGGUCAGCCUCUGUUGUUUAGAAGUGUUACAGACUGUGAAUGACACAGACCUGUCAGUUUUCAUGUUUGUCUGUAGCACAGCUCAGGGGCUCCAUGCUGAACGCAUCCAUCCAGUGUUAUUGAUCCAGCACUAAUACCAGCAUUGGAUCAAUACUACAAUACACAAUCACAUGUGUCCACGUGAUGGAUUUGACCAGCUUUAUUCAUUAAUGAUCAAUCAACUUAUUUACUGUAUCUGAGUCCAGCUUCAUUUAAAUGAUCCAACCAUGAAAAUGACAUCAGUCCUACAGAAGCACUUAAUGCUAACAGGAAGUCAUUUAUUAAGGUGGAAUAACACAGAGACACACAACCACUCACAGUUAACCUGACCCCACUAACUGCAUGUGUUUAGACUGUGGGGGGAGUGAUUUUGAAGAUCAUGCAGAAAUGUGCGCGCCCUUAUCUGAGGGGACAUGGAGAGAGUGUCGCAGACUCGAGGUGAGAAGAUAAACCUCGGAGCUGGAUGGCCUGCACGUUACCUAUGUGCAUCUUUUCAAUGACAUCAAGUGAGCCCAUAAUAAGCAUUUCUAUGACAUCAUAUCCAUUUCUAAUGAGAGAUUAUUUUUUAAAUGAGGGAAACCUGGUCUAACAACACGCUAACAACAGAGCUAAAGGUUCAUCACAUGUGAGACGGUGGGACUCUGAUAAGAACUGAAACACUGUGUCUAAACAGCUGAGACAAAACUAUAUAUAAACACUCAUUUAUUCCAGUUUAGUUUACAAUGAUUUUUAAAGUAAUGUGGAAUGAUUCAUGUUCAUGAGCUGUUACAAACACAACUAUUUAUUUGUCUUUCAUAUGGUUGGACUACAAGGCUUGUGUUGAGGGUCUUGGAAUAAUGUGUGAACAACAGCAAGAAAUGAUCGUUUUCCCAUUUUACCAAAGUGGAAUAACAUCACCACAGCAACAAAUAAUGUUAUUGUCUGCAGCUAAAAUAUAUAGUGAACAUGGUUUUAUAAUAAUGUGCAAACACAACCUCACUCUGCUAUAUACGAGGAGCCAACCACAGCUGUCCGGGUCUUCAUCCACGACCUCCGCCAUCAUUUCUUUGCUCACCAUCAUUCACUUAAUUGCUUAGAUUGGUUUAAAUCAAACUCCAUUACAGGUUCAACUCCAUUAUAUAAAUAAAGAAGUGGAAGAGUUAAAGAGCUGCAGCAGAUUAACAGUUUCUGACAGCCAUGUGUUAAGAAAUAGGACGAUUAGAUGAGCUGAGGGAUCCAUCUACUGCUCAAUGAAGCCUCAUCAGAAACAGUCUCAGUGGAAGGAUGGCUCUAUUCUUAAGGAAGGACACAGGCAGAAAGACUGGCGUCUGUCACAUUACACAGGAACUGGACUGAAAAUCAGCUGCAAAUAUUCAUCAGUAUGUGCAAACAUAUUAUAGGUAUGGAAUUCAGGAAAGUACCAUCAGAAGUUGAUCCACUGUGCAAAUGUCUGAUUGGCAGUGGCUUCAUUUUUCACUAUGAACAAACUGCUAAUGCAGUAUGCAGCAUCACAGGACUUCAGGCAUGGAUUGGCCUCCCCAGACCUCAACAUUACUGAAACAUCUUAACAGAGGAUGGAAACAAAGGGAACCAACAUCCAAGAAAAGAGCUGCUCCUGAAUACUUCCUCACAGAAAACACAAAAAAGCUUGACUAAGAGACGUCAGGCUGUGCUGAAUAAUAAAGCUGACAGGUAACCCUAUUGGAGUCGCCAUAGUGACCCGUGGCGUCUCAGCUUCAGUGUGUUGAUGGGCACAGCCAUGGUUACCACAGCUGGAGUUGGUACACGCCGAGCUGUGAGAGGACAGAGAUGGAGAACGGACAUUUAACUAUUUAACAGGAGAUACGUUACGACUAACAGACGACUGCUGUUUAAAUGAUGUCUUUGCAGCCUUCAUGCUACAUGUUACACAACUUUUCUUCAUGCCAACAAGACUGAGGUGCCACAUAGUUGACACAUACAACUGAUUAUGAUGCAUAUUUUACUAUUGCUAUGUUCACAUCAUCUCCUUGGCUUUAUUAUUGAAAGCCUUGAGAUACUCUGACUUGUGCAUGGCUGAUGUGAAGUAUGAUUAGUACUACAUGACUUACACCAUCAACAACAGAGGCAAUGAAAGCUUUGUUUUUAACAGGUUGUAGGUAAAGUCAAAUUUCUAACUCUACACUUGUGUUGGGUAAAGUUCUUCUCACUGCAGCAGAUUUAUAUCUGUGGUUUCACAGGGCGUGAUGUGGACCUCAGCGCUGAGGUGCAGUUCUCCUUGGAGACGGCAUCCUGGCUGAAAUAUUAUCAUGCUUCCAAAACACUUUCAGCUUUUAUUUUGAAAGAAACAAAACUUGAAAACUAAUCCCCUUCUUCCUCUUUUUAUUUGUUCUUCAGAGGAGUGUCACCUGGACAAACUCAGGGCUAUUCUAGGGCCUUUGCUAUUAUUUGACUCCAUAUAAAUAAAACUGAUUUGAAUCAAACCAUUUGCUGGCAAACAAAAACUCCCAAACAGCUAAAAUACUUCGCUUUAUUCUCUUUUUUAACAAAUACGUUGAAGUACAUCCAUAACAACACAGCUGAGAUCUCCUUUUUAAUCAAGUGUUUACAUCCUUUGUACAGAUCUGUAUACAAAACAAUCAUUUACGUCCCAUAGAAGUCUAGUUACACGUAACUAUACAAGAACUCGUAAAUGAAAUAAACAUAAAACACAUAAUCACAGGUGAUAACAAAAAAAGAGAAAGAAUUCACGUGUUAGGGAUGUUUUUGCAGCGCUAAUGGCUCAUGUUGGAGAAAAAAACUGAGGCUGGAGUAUCUCAGUGACUUGGUUGAGGUGAAGUAUGACGAGUAUCCCUGAUUCAUUCCAUCGAGACAAAGGGGAAAGAAAGCUGUUGUUAACAAACUCUAUGGUGUGGACCUCAGCGCUGAGGUGCAGGAGAGUUUCAGUCAGUUCUCCCUGCAAACCAGCAUCCAGCCUGAAAAUACUGUCAUCUUUCCCAGAAAUGGUCGUCUUAUCUCAGAGAAGAAGUUUGAUGUAAAAUAACUGCAAUCAACAGUGAUAUUAUGCACAGAUCACUUUUCCAUUUUGCUCUCUAGAUGAGUCCCAGCUGCCUGACCUUGUGUCCAGGUGAUCGUCUCACUGAGGAGCUGUUGUUCUGAAAAUCUCACGUCCAUGACCUGUUUCCUUUUUACUAUCUCUGCUCUGUCUUUAUUAACAAUGCUCAUAAUAUCACAAAAUUAUAUUCAUCACUUGCCUGCUUUUAUCCACCUGCUGUUAGAACCAAACAAAUAAAAAGGAGGAAAUGCCUAAAAUCCUUUGAUUUAUUACAUUUUGAAACAAAUAUGAGUACAUCCCUAACAGCACAGCUGAGACCUUUGUUUUAAUCAAGCCUUUGUAUCUACACACUUUGUAAAGAUUCAAAUACAAAACAUAAUAGAAUUAAAUAAAUAUAAAAUACACAUAAUCACAGAAGAUGACCAAAACAAUGCACCCAUGUUGUGAAUUUGCAUCUAAAACAUGCAUGUUUCCCUUUGUACAGGCAGAUUUACAGCAGACAAACAACACGGUGACAGACUUUGACCGCUGCAAAAACAAAGUACCCACCAAGUCUGAAGCAGAUCAGAGGAACUGUUGAGCAGACAGACUGACAGACAAACAUACAGAUGCUUGAUUCAUCAGUGCGAUAAAGUGUUCUUCUUUAACAGCAUCACUUCAUGUGUUUGUUUUCCAGGAAUAAAGGUCUAUUUAAACUGGACAUCUCCUCAGCAUCACCAGUGGUGUCAUGGUUUCAAAGCUGUGCAGUAGAGCAAAGAAUCUGAGGGAUGAUACAGAGAUGACCAAAGUUACAGACAAAUCCAGCUGUGCUGGAAAUGUUUGCAGAGCUCCAAACUCUUUGGCUUUCUGUAGAGCAAGUAUGGAAGAAGCACCUGAGCUAACUUACAUUUAGAUGAUAUGAGGAAAAAUGCCGCUUCCCAAAGUUUCCUACAAGUAUCCAGUUUAUAUUUAGAGAAGCAAAGGCUCUUUAUCCUGACAACUACUCCCUGGUGGAUCCCUGUCCUGUGACAGUAGCAAAGAAUGUGUAUCAGUAUUAUCAAAGCCACUUCAAUAACCAGUUUUUAAAGCUAUCUAGCAGAUGGACUUAAGUGCCAGUAGCCUCUGUCUGCUGUGUACAGAAGGUUCUAUGAUGAAGCACAGAUGCUGCACUACAACAGUAGCAGCAGGUCAGCUUCAGUUUGGUUCAACGCCCCUUUUUGACCUAUGAAACAGCAGAAAAUGAAACAUUUCAAC
This is a long non-coding RNA of Oreochromis aureus, 4865 nucleotides long. Lineage: Eukaryota; Metazoa; Chordata; Actinopteri; Cichliformes; Cichlidae. The record is from Ensembl.